Non-coding RNA from Pimephales promelas (fathead minnow), 2660 nucleotides. Lineage: Eukaryota; Metazoa; Chordata; Actinopteri; Cypriniformes; Leuciscidae. The record is from RefSeq and is a predicted model, not a curated record.
UCUAAACACAUUAUAAAUGUUAGAAAUGUAUUGCUAAAACAAACUAACUGUGAACUGUGAAGUAGCCUAUUGAAUUGUGGAAUAAGAGUCAGACCAUUAAACAGUUUUUCACCAUUGCAGUGUUCCAGAUUUUUUGGGUGGGGCUAAAACGGGGACUCGAUGAUGCACUGAGGUGGGCCCCUCCCACACACUGAUAGACUUUGCCAUUUUACCGCAAAAAAGCCCAGUAAAAUACCGUUUAUAUUAUUUAUGGUUAACUACUGUAAUAUGCACUGCAUUGUGGGUAUAGUUAAUGAAAUUUACAGUAACUUACUGUAUAUGUGUAUUUGCAGUGUUUUACUGUUUACGCAAAAGCAGUAGUGCUACUUUAAAUGCAUCUCUGCAGUAUAUAUGAAUGGGCAUAUAAGCACUGUACAAUUUAUACAAUCUGUCUUAUAAUUCAUGGGAUGACUGCACUUUUGUUUAUUGUGUACACACAUUGUACAGUACAAACCUUGUAUUAGCCUACUUAUGAUAAUGUUUUAUAUUUUUCCCCUCCGCUGGAUGUUUAAAAAACAUGUAAAUGGAAAGAUUUGAAAUGAGUUCUUAUGGAGAGACUAGAGUCAUUUUUUAUAUUAUUAUUUUCUCCAAUAAUAUAUUUAUAUUUAUAUAUAUAUAUAUAUUAAAUCCACUUUUUUAUGCCAGGUAAAAGAGCACACGUGUGGUGAUAAAUGUAUCUUUUUCUCACACCCCACAAAAUGUAAAUUGUUGCUCUCGUGCAAGGCCUCGCCCGCAGCAGAAUGUGUAAACUGAGGUUUGUGUGACGUCACGUGUCGAGUGCGCGCUCAUAACGGACGUUCUGCUGAGAGUGGAUCGCAUCGCAAGACGCUAGCUGUGCCAGCAGUUUUUCGGAGGUAAGUAGCCUAACGUUACUUUUUACUGGACAAAUUUCUUUUAUAUACGCUACUUUUACAAAGUAAACAAUUACCAAUAUCAAUUAAAUAUAACGGAAUGUAUGAAUAAAGUAAAUAAUAAAAUCUAGGCUCCUAACAGGAGAAUCUGAAGGAAGUUAGUUUUCCUCAAAAAACGCUGCUUUCAGGCAUUAACUUAACUUAAAUGUCACACAAUUGACUGACUGCCUUUUCCAGUAAGGUCGAUAAUCCCAAUAUAUUAUUUACACAAACAAUGGUUUUCCGUCCUUUUUACUCAUUUAGGCAUAUGGCAUAUUUUACUCGUCAGUUAAAUGUGUGAGGUGUUUUGAAGUAGGACCUAACGUCAGGUCCUACUUCAAAACGUUAACAUACUUUUUACUCCUAGCGUUAGGCCUACUUUUUACUCCUAGAAAACGUUACUUUUUCUCCUAGCGCGUUUUCUCAAAGGCACGUUCUCAAGUGUAGACACACGAUGUAAGAGAUGUGACGGCUACAUAGGCCUAACGUUACAUGCUGGAUUCACUCUGCACAGGACAGAAAUAUGACAUUUUAAAAUAGUAACGAAUUUAAAGCAAUGUAGAGGCAGACUAAAAGAUAGGCCUAAAUGGAAAAAUAUUCAUUGCAAUGAAUAUUUUUCCAUUUAGGCCUAUUUGCAACCUAUUUCAGAAAUUCCAUGUCAAUAGUCCUAAUUGGUAAAACUGUAAUCUGAUAUCUAAUCUGAUCUGAUCUGACUGUGUAAAUGAUUAAUAGCAGUCAUCCUAGAUCUGUGAUUUAUCAUAUUCAAAACAUAGCCUAUAGUCAUUAGUCAAUAAUCAUAGAUGAAAAAUAAUGGGGGGUUUUUUCUCUCUUUUGCUUGUGUCAACAGGAGCUUACUGCAGCUUCUUUUUAGAGCCACGCACAUCACUGAGCAUCUUUGGCUUUCCAGUGACCCGGAAACCGAUAAAACUCCAUCUUGAAGGGCAUAUCAAUUCUCUAUUUGCACCGUGAAGAGGCGAGGAAUGUGGAGUGAGGAAGGAGUCAUGAGCAAGGAUACACAGGUGUUUCUUUCCCUUGCACCCUAUAAGGGGAUGGAGCUGAGACGCAAGGAAAGGAAGUGAGAGAAGGAGAAUGAGAGGCACUCAUGGUAUAGGCCCCAGGCUUCCACUUUCUAAUGUGUGUGUAUUUGUAUGUUUCCACAAGGGGGAAUCCGUUUUAAUCCUUUCAUGAUUUAUUAUAUGUAUCCUUGCUAAUCUCUUAACAGCACUGAUAGUAUGUAAUUUUUUCUGUGUGAUAUAUAUAUAAACCGUCAGACUCUUAAAUGCUUUCUAAUCCAUAAUUUUUCUACAGGAGUGCUUUGGACUCAGUGACCGCCAACCCAGAAACCCCAGAAUGAAGAAGUUAUAUUUUCUAGUUUCCAGCUGCAAGACCAUAUAAAGCCAGACCCAUGAGUGAUCUGCAAUCUCUACACGAACCACCAUCUCAGCUCUGCCCUCUCCUCCCUCUCUCACUGUGUGGUGAAAAGAAAAGAUGGAGUGAGACUCACAUAGGUUGCGGUGCUGAGCUGAGGCGUGUGAAAGAUCCUGAGGAUGCAGGAAGCUGUACCAAGAUUGGGACUGCAGAAUCUCCACAUUUAGUCCCAAAUAAACAUUCACACUGAAAGUUGGAAAAGGAUAAAUGUCUCAUGUCACGGCUAUGCUGAGAACGGAAACAUGGCAGGAAGAAGUUGCUCUCUGGUGUUGGAGCUGAAGAUUGUUCUCUGUCCAGGGCAAU